Molecule: long non-coding RNA, 14122 nt
Filed under: Homo sapiens (human)
Lineage: Eukaryota; Metazoa; Chordata; Mammalia; Primates; Hominidae
Description: HSALNT0290853
Source: RNAcentral
GCGGAGGAGGCCCCAGUGCCACAGCCCAGGGCCCCCGAGAGCUCUGGGAGCCCGGGGCAAAUGCUAGAAAUUUGCUUAGAACGUCCGGGUCCCACGGAAGGCGCCCUUGCCGCCCUCUCUCGGGUCGUAGCUCCCUGACGCUGGGGCGCAACCCCUUCGCUCCUCCUCCCCGCUGGCCGCGGCCGGGCUUCCCCAGCUCUUGCUGCUUCGGGCCUGUGACUUCUGCAACCCCGGGCUGGGGGCCGCGGGGUCUCAGGGCCGGUGACGCCGCACUGGGAGCCGCCCCAAAGAGGUUACUCACCUCCCUCGUCCCGCACAUUAUUCUGACCCAAGAGCCUCCACCCCACACGGGAUUUUGCGCGUCGUCCACGCCCGGCCGGCGGCCUUUGCUGCUCCCAGCCCUGCGCGGCUUUGGUCCCAGCCUCGGUGGCCCCUGUGCCAAACCGGGGACAGGCGGAAGGGAGUCUCCUAGGGACCCUAAGUAGCCUGGGGCCAACAACCCCUUUCCUCUCUGCUCUCCCCUCAAAACAAGUUUCAGGAUCUUGCAGGCCUCGCGGCGUCGUUCUUCGUUGUGGCGGCCUGUGGCUCUUUGAAAAACACGACGAGGCCUGCAAAAUGCGUUUUUCUUUUUUUCCUUUACGCAUGUAACCACGGUCCUGCAUCGUGAAACGGUACGCGCGUCGGUGGCAAAAGAAAAACAGCAGUGGCUGCAAAGCUAAGGGCCCUCGCUUUCAGAGGAGAGAAUUUUCUUUCUCCAUGCGGGUGGAAAGUGGCCUCUGCGGGUCCAACCCCACUUCUUCUUGGGCCCGUGCGCUCCGGCUGCGCCGCAGGGACCGCGGACAGCUUCGCCAAGGCACUGCCUGCCCGCCCGGCUCCGGGUCCCCGCUCCCACUCCCAGCCGCGUGGCCCAACCUCUCCUGGGCUUCACUGCAAAUCACCCCUUCCUCUCCCGCCUCCUAAGUCUGUCGAGCAGACCUAGGGGCCGGCUACAGUUGGGAGGGCAACGGGAAAGAUCAAGCCACAAUCAUUCCGAAUUAUCGCCCCAGACACCUCCCUAGACUCUGGGGAACGAACGCGUGCUGAGCCUCCCCGCCGCUUUGGAGACGGGGCUAGAUUUUCGUUGCCUCCGGCUCUCGACAGGUGCAAAACAAUGAAUUCCAAGCCUCGGAAGCAAAGAAGCUUAGGAUCCGACGGUGGCCGCAAGAUCUCAUCAUGGAUCUGACCCCUGCUCAGCGCGCGCCAUUUCGUCGUUGCCAAACGAAAUCAAGCCCCGCGUGCGCUCCAGGGGCGAAGGACUCUGGACUCACCCCGACCACCGGGAGAGCUGGCCCCUACCCACCUCGGGACCUCACAGCACGCCCUCAGGCCGUGUCGAAAGGAAGGACGGCAAAGGUCCCUUACUGAACCUUUUAAGAGAGCCUGCGCCUGGCAGUUGUCGAUUGCGGACCCAGGCCCGCGCGCCCUCGGACGCGCUGGCACGAGCAGCAGAACUAGAGGAAAGCGAGUGAUCCAGCCUGGGCGCUCCCACCUCCGGGAACGUCUCCGAGAAGGCGCAGCGCGUCGUGGCCAGGACACAAUGUUCUGUGUCCUCCGGAGGACACAGCCAGAAGACACUGCCUUGGAAACAGGGAGUCCAGGACCUCACCAGAUGCGGAACCUGCCAGAGCCUUGAUCUUGGACUUCCCAGUCUCCAGAACCAUGUGUAGUAAGUUUCUAUUUCUCUAUUUAUAAAUUAUCCCGUCUCAGGUAUUUUGUUACAGCGACACAGAGUGAACUAAGACACUCUCUUUAGACAAAAGUGGGCCAGGGGAUGGCAGCAACCCUUUUCUCCCCAAUCGCAUUUGGGCUGUGUCAGUGUUUCCGUAAUAAAGGCCCCUUUUCCAGGGGUUAUAAUUUGGCUGGAAAAUGAGGAGGAAAGACCAGACUCCAGGACUGGAGGGGCACAUGAAGUAGGAGGCUAGGAUGGGAAAAGUCUCCACUGGACCCUGGGCACGCAGAGUGCACACACACACGCACACACAUCUAUACCCUACAUGUGUGCACUCACACACAGCACCCACGCUCAUGGGCACAGUCUCUCACACAUUCACUGGCAGCUCACACCCACAUGGACAAGCCCUCAUGGAGGACAGCAUUGUUACAGUGCAGCCACAGGUGCAAACAGUUAAGUGCAGGUGUGUGCAAAGAUGCUCCUAGGAGAUGCCUCUGUCUGCAUCAUCAUGCAUGGACCUAUUGGUAUAGAUGCGCAGAUAGAUGCACAGAUAGGCCCCAUUAUAUGAGUGGUGUGGACACACACAUGGGCAGAAACCCACAUCACAGCUGUGUAAACAGCAGACCAUUGUGUGGACAAAUCUUUACACACAGAGGCAGGCAUGGAAUCAGGGCUCAGAGCUUUGGAUUUGUUCUACAGAGCAGCUCUGGGAGGAGUCGAACCCUGGCUCUGGAAGUUUCUGCUUCUCCUCAAUUCAGAGGCAUGGACUUUCUGGGUGGUUUGCCCCCCUGGGGCUUCCAAACCAUUCCCCAGCAUCUGAGUUUAACCCGCUCCCUCAUUGUUCGAUGGGGACAAGGAGAGCCUGUCUUCCUGGUCCAGAGAAAGGCAGUGGGAGGGGAGAAGUGGGAGGGUUGCAGCUAGGGUGCCCCACGGCAGCAUGGGUGGAAGGGCAGGGCACUAGCCUAGGGGCCCAGAGACCUGAGUUUGGGUUUAGGUUGAGAUGCCCUAGGCCAACACAUGGCCUCUCUGGGCUUCAUCCUGAGCCCCCUCUGUUAGGGCCAUGUGACACCCCCAGGGGCCUCAGCAUGGGGAAGAGCACUGAAACCAUGUCACAUGAUGAACUAUUAAAGCAACUGGAGACUUUGCCCUGGAGGAGAGCAGGCUUGGGGGGUAAGAGCUCCUCUGGCAGAUCUAUGAAGAGCUCCCAGGUGGCAGGGACCAUAUGGAUGCUGGGGGCUCCAUACCAGGAAUAGAAAUAUUGAGAGCUGGCUUGGAAUAGGGACACGUCCCCUCAGAGGUAGAGAUCAAGUUGAGACCAGGAUAUUGUGCAGGGAGUUCGAGUGUUAGAUGGGGCAGGGGCCGGACCAGAUACUAGUGUCUCAAACGCUCAGCUCAUAGCAAACACGUAUUGAACAAAUGAGAGAGCGACUGCAGAGCUCCAUUUCUGAGCCAAUCAUCCGUGAUUCAGAGCAUACCAGCUCUGGGUUCCCACCUUGCCAUCUGCAUGACCUUGGCCCUCUCCAAACCUCAGUUUCCUCAUCUAUGAAAUGGGGAGAACAAAUUAUUUCCAAGAGCUCCAGCAAGUCACAUCCCCUAUUGUUGGUCUUUCAGGUCAUCCCAGAAUUUCUGCUCUUAUAAAUAGAAAAUGACAUUGAAGGUGAAAAGCAGACAGACAAGCAAGAGAAUAGUUAAUACAAAAAUCAUAGCUAGGCGUGGUAACUUGUGUCUGUAAUCUCAGCUACUUGGAAGGGUGAGGUGGGGGGAUCUACUUGAGGCCUAGAGUUCAAGACUAGCCUGGGCAACAAAGUGAGACUCUGUAUCUACCAAAAAAAAAAAAAAAAAUCAGGAGAGUGGUCCCCACCACUUGCCACCUGUGAUGAGUAGGGAGAGGGAUGCAGUCAGGGAAGGGACACUGGUGGGAGCCCUAAGGUCCCAUUAGUGCUUUGUUUUUUAAAGCCAGGUGGUAGGUAGAUAGAUGUCUGCUUUAUUCUUCUUCUUUAAACAAUACUUAUAUUUUAUACAUUCUUCUGUACAUGUAUUUUACAUGUUUAAAAAUAUUUUAAAGGAAAGCAAAAGAUAAAAUAUAGAAAAAGUUCCCCUGCCCCAAACCUCUGAAAAAAUGGACAAUAUGCUCAAAUGUGCAUAAUAUCGUACAAUUAUUCAUGAUGCAGCAAAGCUGCACUGUUUCAUCCGGAUGGUCCUGUGUACCAUCACACUCUCAGUUGAAUCUCUGCAGGCCCUUGCAGCUGUCCUCAUCAUGGCAACCCCCACCUAGGUAAGCACUUCUAGGUAACAGCCCCUGCUGAGCACGCUCCCCAAGCACUCCUCAUGGCCGACCAGUAGCCCUUCAGGUAUGUGUCAGUGGGCCCACUUUACAGGCAAGGAAGUCCCUUGCACCUACAUAGGAAGGGGCAGAGCUGGGAUUUGAACCAGCUCUGUCAAUGCCAAAGUUGUGCAGCAACCUCACCCGAGGAGCCAGGCCCCUUGAUUAUAGUAACUAGCGUUAUGUACACUCACACAUGCUGUUGAAUCCCCGGAGCCACUUUUGUAUUAGGUACAUUUAUCAUCAUCCCCAUUGUAACAGUAGGACAACGGAGGCAUAGCAAGGUCAGGAACGUGUUCAAGUUCACACCCUAGGUGAGUAUCAGAGCUGAGCCUUGAACCUCAGCAGCCUGAUCCCAGAUUGUGUUUCCUGGCCUGGCUGUGUGGGGAGCUCAGACUUCAUGGAAACAAAAGACAGAACGGUGGCUCCAGGGUCCACAGCGGAUCCCAAGGGACCAGAGGCCAGCAGGGGGGUUGGCUGGGGUUGGAGGAUGCUGCCUAGGAGAUCUGCUCCCAGAGUGAUGCUAGCCCUGUGUGAUGACCUGAGUCCCCGCCUCCUUACAGGGUCAUGGCUGCUGGGGAGGUGCUGAGGCUGUGGGUACAGCCAAACGGAGCUAGAGCAGGCUUUGGACUCCCUGCCUGGCAAGUCCAGGUGACAGGCUCAGACACUGGGCACUCUGUCAUUUGCUGUUGGCAUAAGUUUCCACUGGCAGGAAUGUGACAUUUAUCACCUGAGUGGGCUUCCAGAAGCCCACUGAAUGUCCUCAGACCUGGGGUGGGGGGCCCUCUCACUGCCUCACCUCUGAGCCUUAAUCAAAUCCAGGGUGGCUGGAUGAUCUGAAGGCCCUUUUAGCUCACGGAGGCCUGGGCUUGCCCCUGCCCCCAUCCGUGUCCUCAGGGGAAAAGGUUCCCAGUCCUGCCCUUAGCAGCUCUGAGCUUAGAUGAGGGGGGGAGAUGAGAUGGAAAGGAAAAGGAGAAGUAAGAAACAGACAGAGGAAAAGGAGUUGGCACUAGAUUGAAGCAGUCAACACACACUUAUUAGGCACCUAGGGCUAUUUUAGGUGCUGGGGAUACAAGCAAUGGACCAGAAAGCCAUGGAGCUCCUUGGGGGCUUUGAUUCCAGCAGGGCAGACAGAAGACAGACAAGGAGGCAAAUAAAUAAGCACGCCAAUAUUUGAUAGUGUCUUGGGACACUCAAGAAAACAGAUGGGGGUAAAGUCAGAGAGAGUGACUGGGUGGAUGGGGAGAGAGGGGCUCUUGGCAAUACUUUAGACAGGGUGGUCAGGGAAGGUCUGUCGGAGCAGGUGACAUGCGAGCUGAGACCAGAGGGUUGAGAGGGACCCAGGAAGGGAGAAGGGGGCUGGUAGGAGGGCCCACUGCACAGUGGAACUGGCUUUACCCACCUGCCUUCUCCCCACUCCUCUGCACUGCUAGUAUCCCCAGUUCCUAAAACUCUUACUGCCCUUUCUCUCUGUUGCUUCUCCCACAACAGCCCUGAGAGCCAGAUGGGGUGAGCCUAAGUAGCCUGACCUGCAGUGCAGGAAACUGAGGCUAGAGUGGGGAGGGUCAGCAUCAGCGGUGCCCUAAUGCCAGGACCUGACCCGGGCUCCCGCCUCCCAGCCUGGUGCUCCUCGGAGCCUGCCCAUUGCCUGGCAUGUUAUUCAACCACCCCAGUCCAGGCAGGCUGCAGCCACUGUGGAGCCAGCCCGUGGGCACCGCUCCUGAGAGGUCACAGGCUGGAAAUGUGGGCAGCUGGGUAGGGUCUAGGAGGGGGCAGCGGCUCAGGACUGGGCGGGGGUCCGGAGCGGAAGGCGCCCAGCCCUGAUUGGAACAAGGUGGCAGCACCGGGAGCCGAGCCGGGUGUCAUUGAUCUUGCCCGGUGUUCCAGCCACCAGGCGGGACCAGCGCCGGGCAGACUGCCGGUUUUCCCAGGUGUGGGGACACCCUGAGGGAAUGACUUUUCAUGUGGUUGUGGGGCAGGCAUGCCACCCAGCACGUGGGGGAGGCCAGGGCUUUGGGAGCAUGCUGGCAGCAGGGUGGAGGGGGGUGUCUGGAGACUCAGAAUCCCACAGCCAGCAAAUGUGAGGCUCCUGGAGACAGGGUCAUGGACUUGAGGCUCUGAGACCCUGAGGAUGUUAGAAUCUUCAUCGCAGUAGCUCCCACUGAUGGUGUGCUCACGGUGCCAGGCACGGUUCUGAGAACUCACACAGCUUAACUCUUCAUCCUUGCUCCAUCCUAAGAGGGGGUUCUGUGAUCAUCCCCACUUACAGUUGGGGAAACUGAGGCUCGGCAAGGUUAAGUAGCCUGCCAAACACACAGCUACCAGGUUUUUGUCUUAGGAAAUAAGAGCCCUGGAACAGUUGGCCAGUGCGGAGAGGACCCCCGAAGAUCUCUGAGGCUAGUCCCCUUGUGUCGGAAAAACAGGUCUGGAGAGGGGAUGUGACGUGCUGGGGCCCAGGGGAGUCCAAAGUCAGGACUCAUUCUUCCCCCAGGUCAUCGUGGGACCUCCGCUGGUCCCUGAAUGUCAGGCCCCCUGAGGGCAGGGUCCUCAGCCAGGACCUAGGCUCCCAGAUGUUACCAACCUUAACUGACAGUUUUCUGCUAGCACACAGGAAGUUCUUUUGAACAUCUAACCUGAAUCCCUCGUUUGCAGGGAAAGCCUCUUCCUUCUCAUCUUGCAGUACUCUAAGAAGAGUUUGGCCUUUGAUGUUAGGGAAGAUCACCAGUUCCCUGGUGUUGUGGGAGGUGAGACUGUGCCCCUCUCUGCCAUAAAAUAUCUCUUUACUGUCCAUCGCUGGGCCUAAACAUUAGCGACUUAGCCCUUGGGGCCUUACAGAGUUUCUUAUUAAAAUGUGAGUACUCCUGGAAUGGGUGUCAGCUUAGCAGGACAGGGUGGUACUUCAGGGGCAGGGCUUGGGGGCCGUUGAGGGGCAGGAGAGAGCUGAUUCUCCCCUUCUAGCCAGGCUUGAUGGGGUCUACAUGACCUGCCACCCUCCACCUCUCUGACCUCAUCUGCUUCCACUCUGCCCCUCCCUCACCCUGCUCCAGCCACCCUGCCUUCAAAUAUGCCCAUCAUACUCCCACCACAGGGCCUUUGUCUGUGCUGCCCUUUACCUGGAAAACCCUUCCCAUUCUGUCUGCCUGGCUCAGCUACCCACUUCAUUCAGGUCCCUGCUGCCUCCUCCAAGAGGCCUUCUCUGGUCUCCUGUGGUAGGCAGAAUAAUGGCCACAGAGAUGUCCACAUCCUAAUCCCCAAACCUGUGGCUAUGUUACCUUAUAUGGCAAAAGGGACUUCGCAGAUGUGAUGAAGGAUAAAGACUUUCAGAUGGGAGAUUAUCCUGGAUUCCCCAGGUGGGCCCCAUAUGAUCACAAGGAUCCUCACACAUGGAAUAGGGAGGCAGAAAAGGACAGUCGGAGGGAGAUGGGGUGUGGAAACUGAUUAGGGAACCUGAGAGAUGGCAGCGUGGGAAAAACAUGGCUCAAAGCUGUGGGCUUUGAAGGUGGAGGAAGGGGCUAUGAGCCAUGGAAAGCAGACAGCCUUUAGGAGCUGGACAAGACAAGGAAACAAAUUCUCCACCAGAGCCUCCAGCAAGGAACACAGCCCUGCCCUGACCUUGAUCUUGGCCAAGGGAGACUCAUAGAGAAUUUCUGAUCCCUGGAACUGUAAGAUUAUAAAUGCAUGUUUUUUUUAAGGCACUAAAAGUGGGUUAAUUUAUGAUGGCAGGCAUAGGAAACGAAUAUGUCUCCCUUCCUUGAUUGACAGUUCCUCAGCACAUUUAUUAGUGCCUGAUACACAAUAGCUUGACUUAUGAAUUGUCUCUUUUCUCUCACAGAAGGUCAGCUGCAGGAGGGCAGGGAUUUUUUGCUUGCUUGGUGUUACAUUCGCAGAUAGAGUUGUCACAUUUAACAAAUGGAAAUAUAAAACACCCAGUUAAAUUGAAUUUCAGAUAAAUAAUGAACUCCUUUUUAGUAUAAAGUUGCCCCAAAUAUUGCAAUUAUUUAUCGUUUAUCUGAAAUUAAAAUAAUUUAGGAGUCUUGUAUUUUAUCUGGCGAAUUCAUCCCCAACACAUAAAACCAUUCCUGGGUAUGUAUUAGGAUCUCAAUAAAUGUCUGUUGAAUGAGUGAAAUAGAUAAGCAAAUGAAUUCACAUUAACUUCUAGCUUAAAAACCCUCUUUGGCUCCCAGAAUGCCUACAGGGUAAAGUGUAAAUCAUAGCAAAUGAUAAAAGCAGACAGUUUCAUAGCCGCUUCAAUAUGCCAGACCCGGGCUGAGUGCUUUACACUUAUUAACUCACUCGGUUCUUGCAAUAACCCAAUGAGGUGGUUAGCCCAUUUUCCAGAUGAGGAAACUGAGGCCCAGGAGGCUUAGUAACUUGUUCAAAGUCACAUAACCAUUGAGCAGCAGAGCCAGGCAAUUCCAGGCCUUUGAAAACUUGGCUCAUGGAAUGUUCUAAUGUUAUCUCCCUACCCAUUCCCCUGAACACUGUGGAUCCUCUCUCUCUAACAGCCCCCGGUUCCUUUUCAGGGUAUGUGCUUCCGCAUUCUCUGACUGCUGAACUCCUCCUCAUACAUCAAAGCCCUGUCCUACUUUUCUCUCUUUGUGAGACCAUCUCUAAAACUCCCAGGAGGACUUGGCCCCCUCUCUUUCCCCUCCCCACCAUGGCCCCUUGUCUGAAUGCGUUGUAAGGACUUGCUAUUGUGUCCUUUACGUUCCCUGACUGUGACCUCCCUGAGAACGGAGAUGGGCCCCUUUCAGCUCUUUGGCAUGGGGCUUCAAACUGAGUCUGGCUUUAGGGGGGUUCCCAGAAGCAUUUGAGAAUGAAUGAAUGAAUGAAUGAAUGAGUGAGUGAAUGAAUGGCUGAGUGAAUGAACGAAUGCUGUUUGUUUCCACUCUGGGCCUCAGUUUCAGAGUCUAUAAAAGGGGAAGAACAAUCCUGAACCGCCCCCCAUUCCUUAAAACAAAACACAUUUUUUUCUGAUUAUAAAAAUAAUACACAUUCAUUAAAGAAAAAUUGGAAAAUAAUAAAAUUAUGAAGAAGAAAAUUAAAACCAUCCAUAAUCCUGCCACCCAGAACAAUGGUUCCCACUGGGUGUUCAGCCUUCUGCUCUUCUUACUGUAUGUAUAGAUUUAUUAUCUUCUUCUCUUCCCCGCCCUCCCUCCCUUCUCUCCUUCCUUUUUUUUUUGAGUGUUGGGAACAUACAGUAUGGGGUCCUUUAAACCUGCUUUUGAAAUCCCCCAACAUGUGUGUAUGUGUGUUCUCCUGUUUUCUUAAAGCCUCCCUGAUGGCAGGGGACAAGUGGCUGCUAGACAAGCCUGGUAGGGGCCAGGGUGUGGAAAGCCCAUUCCCCCCCUACUCAUGGACCACCAUAGUUCCCUUGUGAUGGGCUGUUUAGGGGGUUUCCAGAUUUCUGUCAGGGAACACCCUGCGUGGAUGUCUUAGCUGCAUCCCUGGUUCCUUCCUUAGGACAGAUUCUGGGACUGGGGUUGCUGAGACCAGUAUAGACACUGAGAGGCUCCGGACACCGCCCCACAUCCUCCCCACAGCUGCUCUCCAGCCCCACUCCCACUGGCAGCCUGGACUUCUCAGCUUGGCAGAAAGCCGGGGGCAGUAUUCCACCUCCUCCAGAGAAAAGCCUUGUCUACACCCAAGGCCUCACUGAUUCCAUCCAACGCUGAAAAUACCCAUUUACUCAGCUAUUUCUCCACGUUAUGGUCUAAGGCCCAGAUGCUUAGUUCCAACCAAAAUAGCCACAGAGGUCACUGUGGUCUGAGGGUCCUCUGGACCUCAGGCCUGUGUAGACAUCAUACUUGGUAAUAAUUAACCCACGGAGCUCACCACGUGCCAGACCCUCUGCGUCUCUGUGUGUCCUCACGGUAACCCUGAAGCUAGGGAUGGCUGUCUCCCAUCUUACAGGUGAGAACACUGAGGGUGCUCCAGAGAGCUGUGGGCCCUAGGCCUUGUCACCUGGGGGUGCAAAGGCGCUGCCCCAGUAGUCCGGCUGCCUGCUACCUGGCUGCCUGCUACCCAAUGGGGCAAAGUCCCAGCACUACCCCGAAACAAGGACAAGCUUUGGCCUAGAAGCUGGGCAGCCAGGUCCUGUGCCUGUUUUUUCUCCAUAUGUGCCCUGGGCAGCUCACCCUCUCCGUCUGUGAAAUGGGAGAGCAGGGAGUCAGAGACAGCCUCCUAGGCCUGUGGCGGCUCUGAGCACAGUGGGUGCAGAUACUCAGUGCUGAGUCAAAGAGAGAGAGAACCCUGCCAGAUGGGCCAGCUCACCACAAGCAGCCAAGCCCGGUCUUUGAGGGGUUGGAGUGGGCAGGCCUUUGACCAAGGCUGAGCUAGGAGGGACCUGACGGCCCCAGAUGGAGGCUGGCCCACCCUGCCCCAGCAGAUGGGAGGCUAUUUUUUAACCCCACAGGAAGAAGAGGACAGAAAUGAUUGCAGGGGGUUAACCUAGGCCCCUGGGGACGCUCCCUGUUUGCAUCCUCCUUUCCCCACAACCCAGAGAGCUAUGUGGGCUUCACCUGGAGUUCCCUGAAUCCUUCUGGAGCUCCCCGCAGAUCACAGCCGGAGCUGGCAGGGCCUGAGUGGCCCCUGUCUGCCAGGCGAGGGACCCAGAGCCCAGAGAAGUUUGACCAGGACUGGCUUCCUCUGCCCUCUCUGCUGUGUGCUUCCACCAGUGAGAAGGGCUGAAUAUCACCUGUGAGCCUGCCCCUGCUCCCAAGAACACCCUUUGGACACCUGUGGGCUCUGCAAGGUUGGUGUAACCCCUACAGAUGAGGAAACCAGAGACAGAGAAGUGAAGUAACUCAUGCAGGUGACGGCAGAGGGCAGAGUCAGGACUUGAACCUGGAGAGCCUGGCUCUAAAGCCCAAGCUGGAAUCUCGAUACUCUACACCUCGAUAAGUUUUUGGGAAAUGACUGACUAAACAGAUGAACGCGUUUGCCCCCCCGCCGCCCCAGAGCCCCCUUAAAGCCUACAUGUGGCAGUUUGGGCCCAUUUCCUUGGCUUCCCUCCCUGGAGGGGCACCCACUGCCAGUGUCCCUGGUGAGUGUUUGCCUGUGGGGGUACAAGUGAGGGUUCAGCAAAGGUGACCUGGUGUGAGGGGGGGGUGCCCCAGGGGGUGCAGAGGAGGGCCUCAUGAGGCAGAUUCAGAAUGAAGGUUCUGGCCCCCAGUGGAACCGUGCAUGGGCAAGGGGUCCUCAGGGCCAUUGGCCCAUAAUUGUCAGACGGGGAAACUGAGGCCCAGAGAGAGGAAGGGACUUGUCCUUAGUUACACAGAGUGUCUGGAUCACAGCUCUUAGGUCUCAGCUUCCCCAUUUGUCACACAGGGAGAAUAAAUCCCCCUUGUCCUGCCUGGGGGUAGACCCCAGGGGGCCCCUGUGCCCUCUCACACCUUCCAUUCCAGCUUCUAGAAUUCCACCAUCCAUGCACCAGCCCUGAGGGUAGGCGUUGCCCUCUUCUCACCUCCUGCUCACGCCUCUACUGCAGGAUGGGAACCAAAUGCCUCUCCACCCUUUUCCCACACCCCUUCUCUCCACAGUGAACUGAGGGGAGUUUCUGAUCCCUUAGCUCAAAGUCAGAGAAACUGAGAGGGGAGGGCUGGGUGGGAGCCGUGGGAAUGUCAUGCACAAGCAGUCGGACUCUCCAGGGGUCUGGAUCUCUCCCUUGCUGCCUUGAAGGCCCCUGCACAGGCUGUGGCACUGGCUGAGUACAGGUGCCUGAAGGCAGAGGCAUGGAUGGGAUGCUUCAUUCUCAGCCUGUUUUUGCCAGUGAAGACAAAAGGGAAGUCAUCUUCCGUUGGUCUAUGGGGACCCUGAGGUAGUAGGAGCUCGGUGAUAAUUCUAGGGACCACCCUGGGUUGUCAGGUGGGGGAGACAGAGAAGCCCACAUAGGAGGCACCAAAUGCAACUCACUCGUGCCCUUUUACUCAUGAGAGAACACGGAUCCAGAGAUGUCAAGUGACUCAGACACAGUCUCACAGCACACAGGCGGCAGAGGCAGGUAGGGGACUGGGCUUCCCUGGCAGCAGUCCCCAAGCCUGCCUGAGAGGCACAUCAGAAUCGCUUUAGGGGAUUUGCAAAACCACACCUGCCCAGGCCCAAACCCUAGAGAUUCUGAUUCCGCAGUCUGAGGUAGGAAUGGAGAAUCCUCCACAGCCUGAGGUAGGAACUGGGAAUCCAGUGUUUAAAACUCUCUAGGGGCGGUGAUUUCAGAAAACCUGCUGGCUCCAUCACACUUUGCUCAGGGACUGAGAUGGGAUGGCAUUUGGAAGACACAGCUGAAAUUUAGCAUCAUAUUCCAUGGCGAUUUUCCACCAGUGGAAAUCACAGGUGUUCUCUGGUAUCACAGCGGGGUCAGGGAUGACCUGAAAUAUUGUUCAUGCUCAUCACAACUGCAUGGCCCACCGCGGGGUCUUGUCACUCAGUGAGUUCUUGAAGAGGCACAGACAAAUGGAGUUCAACAAAUGGAAAACAACUGCCUUUAAUUAGCUCCGAGGACUACAAAGGGAACAACGUUAUAAUAGCAGCAACUCCAAGGAAGCAGCCACAGCUCUCAGCUCUCAGACCUGGGGCUGCCGCUCAUCAUCAGCUACAGCUAGGUUUGAUGGGAGUGCCCCCAUUUCAGGGGACAGCAGGCCCCCUUCACUCCCCGACUCAGUCCCCAUCUGCAGCAGCACAGCCUUCCUUGGCCUCACCAGGGAAGAAGAACAGGCCCCGCUCUCAGACAAGCCUUCCCAGAAGCCUGAGGACUCAAACACCCAAAUGUGUCUGGGUCCCUGCCCCGAGCCGGCCACCCAGGCAGCAGCCCUGAAUCACUCGGUCAGCCAGCGGCAGGGCAGGCCAAUGGGCUGGAGGGUAGGCAGGCAGGCAGACCCACCUCUGCAUCUCUGCUGACUGCCUCGGCUGAGGAAAGGCAGCACCAGCCCCCAACCCUGAAGUUCUAGAUCUCAUGCAGCCUCUCUGUUCUGGAACCAUCCAGAGGCACUGCCCUUAUACAUGGUCCACCCCCAGGCUCAGACAAUGAGAAUUCCACAAGCAGAGGGGACUCUAUUUGGGGCACAGAGAGGUUAAGUAACUCCCCUCCUAAGGUCUCUCAGCAAGGAAGCCACUGAGCCGUGGGACUUGAGCUCAGGGACUCUUGAUCCCCAGUCUCAGGUGUCACAGCCCCAUCUGGGCUCCUGCUAGGGAGGAGGAAGGCAGCAGGGGGUGUCUGAGGCCAGGGUGCAUCAGCCCUAAAUGCCAGACAGAGGCAGGAGAAGUCUCCCCAUGAGUCCCAGCCCCAUUAGAGGCUCCAGGUCGGGGAUCCCAGACCCCCUAUCCUUGCUGGGAGACACAACCCAGAACUCUGCAUCCCUGCAGCCACCAAAAAAGGCAAAAGCUGCCCAGAAACACUUUCUCCUCUUCCGUGGCCAAAUCCACGAACUUUCUCGAGGUCUGUCCCCCUGCCCCGUGCAGGUCCAGCUUCAGUGCAGCCCAGCUCUGUGCAGUUUUCCACAAAAGCCUGUGGCUUCCUUCUCCUCCCUCUGCUUCUGAUACCCCAGGAGUUACACACAAAAUGUUGGCGGUGGUCUCCAGGAAGACCCCUGCAUCCCACAGCUCUCCCCAGAAGUUGCCAGCAGUGACCUCCUGAGCCCAGGUGGGGAGUCCCAGGCAGGACAGGGGCUGGGGCUGCAGGCCCUGGGGCCCUGUUAGUGAAGCAGCAAGCCGAGGGUCCCUGAGAGUUUCCCUUGGCCCCUCUGAGGGCUGCCCUUUGAGGUCUUGAGGUCUUGGAGUAUCCAUCGCCCCCACGGCUUACUGUCCCCACCAGCGGAGGAUGAAAGUGCCACAGCGAUGUUCCACGCCAAGAGACCACAGAGACCACCAACCCCUCUUCCCACCUCAGGCUUUCAGAGGCCAGCGGAUUUAGGCGGACAGGCUGUGCGCUUGAGGGCAGCCAGGGCGGUCAGUGGAGGGACGUGGUCCGGGGCCUGGCCACAGCUCCCCACCCAGGGCCCUGGGCUAUUGUUACUCACCGCGGAUGAAGGUCGGCGAGUAGGUCGGGAAGGAGUCGAAGAUGCUGUUCGAUGCCAUGCCCCGCUCUGAAGAAG